This 1755-nucleotide long non-coding RNA is filed under the name Helianthus annuus (common sunflower). RNAcentral describes it as "hypothetical non coding rna". The record is from RNAcentral. Lineage: Eukaryota; Viridiplantae; Streptophyta; Magnoliopsida; Asterales; Asteraceae.
UUCCCCUUUCAAUCGCCCCAUCUGCUUCUUUUCAUAAUCUAAAUUUUUAUUUUUAGUAGUAUUUCACUUAAAAUCCUUCAGAAGCUUUGCCUCGUUUCAAGCGUUUUAACUCCCGAUUACCGCUACCCUUUCCGAUUGAUCUGAGUCCCAUAACGCAUGUCUAGGCUCUGCCCGACUAAGUUCGUUUGGAUUCUAUCUCGGAACAUCGGGACAAGAUCGAUUUAGGGGCACUAUACUUACCACAAAUGCAAUAUAUAUUUUUAUAGCUUAAAAGUUAUACCCAAAAUUUAUACCAGGAAUCCUUCUAGUUGAACCCUAAAGUUACACAGUGGGUCCAUUCCUUUUCCUCACCAUUUUAUUCUCUUUUUAUAAAGUACCCAAAACUAUUUAUUUAUUAGUUCUAUUUUAUAAACAAACUUUCAUCAAAAGUCCUGCCUAUUAUUUUAUUUACCCAAUAGGGAACCAUAGUUGAGACACCCAAGUAAACUUGCACAAAUCCUAAAAUUUUCAUAGCAAUCAGAAUCAGGAUCAGAACCCCUAAAACUCAAGAGGGGCAAAACCUAGUUGACGAUUAUCUUCAUAAAAACGUUGUCUAAAUACUAUUGGCCGAAUUAUUGACUCAGCUAGCCUACUCCUAAGCGUGGGAACCCUAUGGCAAAAGGCGACCUGUCGCGCCACGCGACAGGAACAAGGGGACCCCUCGCGUGGCGCGAGGGGGACUAAAUUCCAGCUAUAAAUAGUAGAGGUUGGGACUGGUUUCUGUGCGUUUGAACGACGAAGAAAUUCGUCUGAGGCACGGAGUUAUGCUCUGUUUACCACAAUUAACACACACACCUCGAAAUUAUGCCGCAAUAACAGGGUAAUAACUCGAUCGCUAUUACGAUUCAUUUUCCGAGCAAUCAAUAUAUCCAAAGAAUGCCUAAGUGCCGCCCACAUUGGGCUAUGCUUUAUCGUUUGUCGUACUAUACUUUGUCGUUUGUCAUUUUGAUAAAUGAGUUGAAGUAUUGCACUUGGUCAUUCAUUGUGAGAAUUUGAUCUCGGGAAAUUAUCGUAACUGCUGUAUUGAUCAUUAACCCGGUUUUUGUGAAAUUCGUUAAGAUUCGAAUCUCAUGACUACCGUUAAGGUUUGAUUUGGGUUUUACACCAACACGUAUUCUAUUCUGUUAAACCACCAAAAACACUCCCAACUACACCCUUACAAUCAAACAAACUAUUAAAUCAUCAGAAGAUCCAGAAUAACAAAGUACAUGCUUAAUUAUCGGGAAAAGUAGAAUCAAGAAGUUUGUUAAUUCAAUCCUGCAUGCUGAUUUGUGAGUUAUUCUCUUUUUAUAAAUUCUUUUAUCACAGUUUGUGAUUAAUUUACAAUACUCCAAAUUCAUUUUCCGGGAUUAUAAUACCAGUGAUUAAGUUGAUGUAAUCACCAAAUUGCAGCCAGUAUGUGGGGUAUUGUGCACAAUAUUACAGUUUAAAUCAUUUUAGGUGGGCGUACCUAAUUUAAUUGAUUUACGUCAUUCAUUGGGGCAGCCAAUGGUGAUAUGACCACUGUCACAGAUUCGGUCGAGUGACAAAUACUGUGGGUAAUUGGUUGAUAUCAGAAACAUGCGUAAAAGAUCUUAACACUGUGAAUAAUCAUAAAAUGUGUCGUUUUCAUUAACUAGAAUAAUUCACUCAGUAUUUCCCGCUGACAAAACCUUUUUAAAACGCGUUUCAGGUAAUUACAAUAGAUUGGAGCAAGGAUUGGAUCCGACACUAAAG